RNAcentral lists this ribosomal RNA (468 nucleotides) under uncultured bacterium. Its description in RNAcentral is "partial 16S ribosomal RNA". It matches the Rfam family "Bacterial small subunit ribosomal RNA", at positions 28 to 507 of the family's 1533-position model. The record is from RNAcentral.
GACGAACGCUGGCGGCGUGCUUAACACAUGCAAGUCGAACGGAAAGGCCCUGCUUUUGUGGGGUGCUCGAGUGGCGAACGGGUGAGUAACACGUGAGUAACCUGCCCUUGACUUUGGGAUAACUUCAGGAAACUGGGGCUAAUACCGGAUAGGAGCUCCUGCUGCAUGGUGGGGGUUGGAAAGUUUCGGCGGUUGGGGAUGGACUCGCGGCUUAUCAGCUUGUUGGUGGGGUAGUGGCUUACCAAGGCUUUGACGGGUAGCCGGCCUGAGAGGGUGACCGGCCACAUUGGGACUGGGCUACGGCCCAGACUCCUACGGGAGGCAGCAGUGGGGAAUAUUGCACAAUGGGCGGAAGCCUGAUGCAGCAACGCCGCGUGCGGGAUGACGGCCUUCGGUUUGUAAACCGCUUUCGCCUGUGACGAAGCGUGAGUGACGGUAAUGGGUAAAGAAGCACCGGCUAACUACGUG